GAUGAACGCUGGCGGCGUGCCUUAUACAUGCAAGUCGAGCGAACGGACGAGAAGCUUGCCUCUCUGAUGUUAGCGGCGGACGUGUUAGUAACACGUGGAUAACCUACCUAUAAGACUGGGAUAGCUUGGUGAAACCGGAGCUAAUACCGGAUAAUACUUUGAACCGCAUGGUUCAAAAGUGAAUUACGGUCUUGCUGUCACUUAUAGAUGGAGCCGCGCUGCAUUAGCUAGUUGGUAAGGUAAAGGCUUACCAAGGCAACGAUGCAUAGCCGACCUGAGAGGGUGAUCAGCCACACUGGAACUGAGACACGGUCCAGACUCCUACGGGAGGCAGCAGUAGGGAAUCUUCCGCAAUGGGCGAAAGCCUGACGGAGCAACGCCGCGUGAGUGAUGAAGGUCUUCGAAUCGUAAAACUCUGUUAUUAGGGAAGAACAUAUGUGUAAGUAACUGUGCACAUCUUGACGGUACCUAAUCAGAAAGCAACGGCUAACUACGUG
Molecule: ribosomal RNA, 497 nt
Filed under: uncultured bacterium
Lineage: Bacteria
Description: partial 16S ribosomal RNA
Rfam family: Bacterial small subunit ribosomal RNA
Source: RNAcentral